GGUCAUGAGUGUCAGCGUCAAGCCCCGGCUCGCUGGCCGGCAACCCUCCAACCGCGGUGGGGUGCCCCGGGUGAUGACCUGGUCUUCCGACUCGAGCCGGAAGACAAGCGCGGGUC
Molecule: non-coding RNA, 116 nt
Filed under: Rhodococcus (subgen. Prescottella) equi
Lineage: Bacteria; Bacillati; Actinomycetota; Actinomycetes; Mycobacteriales; Nocardiaceae
Also listed under: 1 other name
Description: Rhodococcus equi SAM-IV sequence
Rfam family: SAM (S-adenosyl methionine) riboswitch aptamer
About the family: SAM-IV is a mRNA element that regulates gene expression via direct sensing of S-adenosylmethionine (SAM or AdoMet). SAM-IV riboswitches share conserved nucleotide positions with the previously described SAM-I riboswitches sequence analysis and molecular recognition experiments suggest that SAM-I and SAM-IV riboswitches share similar ligand binding sites, but have different scaffolds.
Source: RNAcentral